UUGAACGCUGGCGGCUUGCUUUACACAUGCAAGUCGAGCGGUAACAGGGAGCUUGCUCCGCUGACGAGUGGCGAACGGGUGAGUAAUGCACCGGAACGUGCCCGAUCGUGGGGGAUAACGCAGCGAAAGCUGUGCUAAUACCGCAUACGAUCUACGGAUGAAAGCAGGGGACCGCAAGGCCUUGCGCGGACGGAGCGGCCGAUGGCAGAUUAGGUAGUUGGUGGGAUAAAAGCUUACCAAGCCGACGAUCUGUAGCUGGUCUGAGAGGACGACCAGCCACACUGGGACUGAGACACGGCCCAGACUCCUACGGGAGGCAGCAGUGGGGAAUUUUGGACAAUGGGCGCAAGCCUGAUCCAGCCAUGCCGCGUGAGUGAAGAAGGCCUUCGGGUUGUAAAGCUCUUUCAGACGGAAAGAAAUCGGGCGCGUGAAUAGCGUGCCUGGAUGACGGUACUGUCAGAAGAAGCACCGGCUAACUACGU
RNAcentral lists this ribosomal RNA (482 nucleotides) under uncultured bacterium. RNAcentral describes it as "bacterial SSU rRNA". It matches the Rfam family "Bacterial small subunit ribosomal RNA", at positions 29 to 506 of the family's 1533-position model. The record is from RNAcentral.